ACACGCAUGACACACUGCAUAUCAAUAAGCGGAGGAAAAGAAACUAACUAGGAUUCCCUCAGUAACGGCGAGUGAAGCGGGAAGAGCUCAAAUUUGAAAUCUUCAAGGUUUUACCUUGACGAAUUGUAGUUUAAAGAAGUGUUUUCUGUUGAAGUUUUGGUAAAAGUUCUUUGGAAUAGGACAUCAUAGAGGGUGAGAAUCCCGUAUUUGACCAUUUCUUUCAGCUUUGUGAUACACUUUCAAAGAGUCGGAUUGUUUGGGAAUGCAGUCCAAAAUGGGUGGUAAAUUUCAUCUAAAGCUAAAUAUUGGCGAGAGACCGAUAGCGAACAAGUACCGUGAGGGAAAGAUGAAAAGAACUUUGAAAAGAGAGUUAAACAGUACGUGAAAUUGUCAAAAGGGAAGCGUUUGACACCAGUGUUGUUUUUCCGAAAAUCAAUUACGAAUGUUUUGUUUUCGAGGAGUUAUGACUUCAUCGGCUUGCUCCUUUCUUUAUGAAACUUUCUUAAUGCACUUUUCGGUUAACAAGUCAACAUCAAUUUCUUUUGUUGUAAAAGGGUAUGAGGAAGGUGGCUUUCUUUUCGGAGAAAGUGUUUAUAGCCUUGUGCCUCUGCAAUCGGAGAGAUUGAGGUCUGCAGCGUAGAUCCUUCGGGGUUAGAUACGUUUGUGCUAAGUUAUAGCUUUUCAUAGACAACUUGUUGACUAUGUUUAGUCUUGUAGCUUACUCGCUGACGCUAUUUUACCUACGCUUAGGAUGUUGAACUACUGAGACAUAGA
RNAcentral lists this ribosomal RNA (774 nucleotides) under uncultured Neocallimastigales. Its description in RNAcentral is "partial large subunit ribosomal RNA". It matches the Rfam family "Eukaryotic large subunit ribosomal RNA", at positions 23 to 644 of the family's 3401-position model. The record is from RNAcentral. Lineage: Eukaryota; Fungi; Neocallimastigomycota; Neocallimastigomycetes; Neocallimastigales.